RNAcentral lists this transfer RNA (85 nucleotides) under bacterium. RNAcentral's name for it is "tRNA-Ser". It matches the Rfam family "tRNA". Rfam says of the family: Transfer RNA (tRNA) molecules are approximately 80 nucleotides in length. Their secondary structure includes four short double-helical elements and three loops (D, anti-codon, and T loops). The record is from RNAcentral.
GGAGAGUUGCGAGAGUGGUUUAAUCGGCAGUCCUGGAAAGACUGUGUGUCGCAAGGCACCGAGGGUUCGAAUCCCUCACUCUCCG